CCUACGGGUGGCAGCAGUGCGGAAUAUUGGUCAAUGGGCGCUAGCCUGAACCAGCCAAGUAGCGUGAAGGAUGACUGCCCUAUGGGUUGUAAACUUCUUUUAUAUGGGAAUAAAGUGAAGUAUGUAUACUGCUUUGCAUGUACCUUAUGAAUAAGGAUCGGCUAACUCCGUGCCAUCAGCCGCGGUAAUACGGAGUAUCCGAGCGUUAUCCGGAUUUAAUGGGUUUAAAGGGAGAGUAGGCGGGUUGUUAAGUCAAGUGGGAAAGUUGGCGGGUCAACCGUAAAAUUGCAGUUGAUACUGGCAUCCUUGAGUACAGUAGAGGUAGGCGGAAUUCGUGGUGUAGCGGUGAAAUGCUUAGAUAUCACGAAGAACUCCGAUUGCGAAGGCAGCCUGCUGGACUGUAACUGACGCUGAUGCUCGAAAGUGUGGGUAUCAAACAGGAUUAGAUACCCUUGUAGUC
This 460-nucleotide ribosomal RNA is filed under the name uncultured bacterium. RNAcentral's name for it is "partial 16S ribosomal RNA". It matches the Rfam family "Bacterial small subunit ribosomal RNA", at positions 338 to 795 of the family's 1533-position model. The record is from RNAcentral.